This 712-nucleotide ribosomal RNA is filed under the name Goreopagurus piercei. RNAcentral's name for it is "eukaryotic LSU rRNA". It matches the Rfam family "Eukaryotic large subunit ribosomal RNA", at positions 667 to 1144 of the family's 3401-position model. The record is from RNAcentral. Lineage: Eukaryota; Metazoa; Arthropoda; Malacostraca; Decapoda; Paguridae.
CAAGGAGUCUAACAUGUGUGCGAGUCAUUGGGCGCACUAAACCCAAAGGCGAAAUGAAAGUGACAGAAAGGGGAAGGGCCCCUCCUGCCGCAAGGUAGGAACCCUUCCCCUGGGGCUGAUCCCUGGCAGGUGGUUGACCAGUGGGGUGUCUGAGUUGGGCGGGUGUCGGUGAGGCAUUUUCCCGGUGCUCUGUCAGUCUCAGGCUUACACCCUCUGAUCUCCACCAGGCCCACGCCCGAUUUGUAUAUGCAAGGGGGGGCGCAAGCCCGGGACUUGCCACCAGUGCACCUCUCUGCGUCCGCGACUGGCCUCUCGGGGCCUUUCCGCGUGGCUGAGUUGGUAGCCGGCAAGUACCUUGAGCAGACAUGUUGGGACCCGAAAGAUGGUGAACUAUGCUUGGCCAGGACGAAGCCAGAGGAAACUCUGGUGGAGGUCCGCCGCGAUUCUGACGUGCAAAUCGAUCGUCGGAGCUGAGUAUAGGGGCGAAAGACUAAUCGAACCAUCUAGUAGCUGGUUCCCUCCGAAGUUUCCCUCAGGAUAGCUGGUACUCGAGGGUAAUUUCAUCCGGUAAAGCGAAUGAUUAGAGGUCUUGGGGACGAAACGUCCUCAACCUAUUCUCAAACUUUAAAUGGGUGAGAUGCCGAGCUUGCUUGCAUUUGAUCGUGAAGCUCUGGCGACUAAUAUGAGUACCUAGUGGGCCACUUUUGGUAAG